RNAcentral lists this ribosomal RNA (442 nucleotides) under uncultured bacterium. Its description in RNAcentral is "partial 16S ribosomal RNA". It matches the Rfam family "Bacterial small subunit ribosomal RNA", at positions 338 to 795 of the family's 1533-position model. The record is from RNAcentral.
CCUACGGGAGGCAGCAGUAGGGAAUCUUUCACAAUGGGCGAAAGCCUGAUGGAGCAACGCCGCGUGCAGGAUGAAGGCCUUCGGGUUGUAAACUGCUUUUAUAAGCGAGAAAUAUGAUGGUAACUUAUGAAUAAGGAUCGGCUAACUACGUGCCAGCAGCCGCGGUCAUACGUAGGAUCCGAGCAUUAUCCGGAGUGACUGGGUGUAAAGAGUUGCGUAGGUGGCAUAAUAAGUAGCUAGUGAAAUCUGGUGGCUCAACCAUUCAGACUAUUAGCUAAACUGUUAAGCUCGAGACCGUUAGGGGUAACUGGAAUUUCUAGUGUAGGAGUGAAAUGCGUAGAUAUUAGAAGGAACACCAAUAGCGUAGGCAGGUUACUGGGACGGUACUGACACUAAGGCACGAAAGCGUAGGGAGCAAACGGGAUUAGAUACCCCGGUAGUC